This 257-nucleotide ribosomal RNA is filed under the name uncultured Pseudomonas sp. Its description in RNAcentral is "partial 16S ribosomal RNA". It matches the Rfam family "Bacterial small subunit ribosomal RNA", at positions 96 to 355 of the family's 1533-position model. The record is from RNAcentral. Lineage: Bacteria; Pseudomonadati; Pseudomonadota; Gammaproteobacteria; Pseudomonadales; Pseudomonadaceae.
CGGCGGACGGGUGAGUAAUGCCUAGGAAUCUGCCUGGUAGUGGGGGACAACGUUUCGAAAGGAACGCUAAUACCGCAUACGUCCUACGGGNGAAAGCAGGGGACCUUCGGGCCUUGCGCUAUCAGAUGAGCCUAGGUCGGAUUAGCUAGUUGGUGAGGUAAUGGCUCACCAAGGCGACGAUCCGUAACUGGUCUGAGAGGAUGAUCAGUCACACUGGAACUGAGACACGGUCCAGACUCCUACGGGAGGCAGCAGCC